Sander lucioperca (pikeperch) is the source of this 404-nucleotide long non-coding RNA. RefSeq lists it as uncharacterized. Lineage: Eukaryota; Metazoa; Chordata; Actinopteri; Perciformes; Percidae. The record is from RefSeq and is a predicted model, not a curated record. The transcript has 2 exons.
UAGCUAAGGUACAGGUUCAGAGGGAUCAACGUGCAGUGAGCACCACCGCUGAACGCACAGUGAUCACCUACGCACAACUGUGAAGACGAUUGCCUGGAAGGUCUAAACAGGCAGUCUCUAGAGAACAAGGAAGAUAUGGAAGGAAAUGAAUUCCCUCUUUAUAUCAGACCCAAGGGCAAACUGUUUGUAGGACUUCAAAGACUGGAGCGGUGACUCUCUGGAGCGGGGAAGCUUUUGCUAUGUCAUCCUUUUACAGCCUUUUUCAAACACCAUGUAGAGGACACUUUAUUUGUUCAGUGUUUUCCAAGAUAUCCUGUGGUUAUAUGGUACAAACAACCCUUUGUCAAUUCAUUGUUUUUGUCUGUGGUCACCAGGUCUGUUAAUAUAAAAAGGUCUCAUUUGAA